UGGGCUACAAGGAAUGCUGCUUGAGGAAGCAGAGGUAGAAGGUAAAGAGCCAUCUCCUCCAUUGCUGCUACGGCUGCUACUAGGUGAAGGGAGAGGCGAAAGCUGCCUAUGCACAGCAAAGUAAAGAUCUAAUGCUGGUAAUGUGUUGCACAACUUCAGUCCUGCUUCUUCCUUGAAUCCAAACCCUAACUCGAUGGACCCUUUGAGCUCCCUUAAGUCUUCAUCGGUUAGAUCAGUAGGAUCAUAAUCGCUGUCAGAGAGGCCUUUCUGCUUCUUUUCCUGAAUCUUUAACAUCUGACGGCGCCUUUUCUCCCAAGCAACAUCUCUUGGUGUCUCACGCAUUGAGAGUUGCUUUGAUAACCGCUGUUUUGGUUUCUGCGAGGCUAACGGGGCCACUAGUGGCUCAGGAAGUGAUGGUGAUGAAGACGAGAUUGGUAAGGUAAGGCCUUCUCUUCUCCUCACCAUUUUUAUAUCUUGUAAUGCAAGGCAGGGGAUUUGUUCUUAGAAUUGGGAAAGAUGCCUUCUGGUACAAGCUAGGGCUUAUUUUACUACCUGUUUUCUUUAGGAGAAUAUCAAAGCUUUGGAGUUUGCUUAUGAGUCUAGAUGUAUGUUCUUCAUCUGCUGGCCGCGUGUGAAACCAAUUAACACGGCCAACAAAGAAGCUUCUACGGGUCGGGUUGAUCAGAAAAUCUUCUGUAUACUCUUUUUCUACCUGAAAAUUUUGCCAAACCCGACCACAUAAACUCUCACAAAAAGAGACUCAAAGAGCCUUUUAAUGGAGGAUUUGAGAAAGUAGUUUUCACCAUUGAUUUAUGCAAUGGAGUCAAAAGCUAUUUUCCUCCAUUGUUUAAAUUUGAUAUACAAAAGACUCAUCCUCAUUUAUUUAGGGAUCUUUCUUUGUUUAGAUUCUUGACUCCCAAAAAAGAAAACGUGUUUCAUAAUUAUCCUACUCUACAAGAAUGUACAUUGAUCAAACCUGUUAUUUUUUCCUAUUUUGAGAAUCCAGUCAAUAUAGUUUUAAGUCAUGAAUUUUAUUUCAUUAGUGUAAGAUUAAUAACUCAAAAGUAUAUUUUUUCUCUCUUCAAAGUUCUAACCAAAUUUGCUUAAAAUAGUUUUCUAAUAUUAAUCCUCUCCACCAUGGAUUUCUCUAACUACUUUCUGUUUCUCUUUCAGACACAACACCAAAAAAAUGAGAAAAAUUCAAUGACCAAGGAAAACGAACGGUUUGUUUUUGUCUUGUUGAGGUUUCUGCUCCUGUUUCCAUGGCUCUGAUCAUACAUUGUUAGGUUUGGAGAGAGGAGAAGAAACAAGCCUCCAAGUUUUCUCUCCUGGUUUCUUGAGGUAAUAAUAAUCCCACUAAGAAAAUUAACCUUUUAUGUUCCUGAAGAUUUAAAACACGUAAUUUAUCUAAUGUUUCAGCCAUGAACGAGAAAACGAGGACCCUGUGUUCCCUCCUCUGUUUCUUCUCUGUUCUUCUAGUUUCUAUCUCUCAAUCUAACGGCCAAGAUCUCGCGUUGGCAUGCGGGGCAUCAGAAUCAUCUGCUGAUCCAGACAAGAAGAAAUGGGAACCCGACACCAAGUUCUUGAAAACACCAAACACGGAUCAUGCAACAGCAACGUAUCAAGAUCCAUCUCUUCUCUCAACGAUUCCUUAUAUGACAGCAAGAAUCUUCACAGCUCCUGCCACUUACGAGAUCCCGGUUAAAGGAGACAAGAGACAUUUGCUCCGGUUGCAUUUCUACCCAUCAGCAUAUACGGGACUCAACAUUGAUGACUCUUACUUCUCUGUAGCAGCUAACGAUGUCACCCUUCUAAGCAACUUUAGUGCGUCCAUCACAUGUCAAGCCUUAACACAAGCUUACCUCGUUAGAGAAUAUUCUCUUGCACCAACCCUAAAAGAUGCCUUGACCAUCACGUUUACUCCUUCGGAUAAACAUCCUAAAGCGUUUGCUUUCAUAAACGGUAUUGAAGUCGUUGAGAUGCCGGAACUGUUUGAUACAGCUGUUCUCGUUGGGUUCACAGACCAAACAGCUGAUGCUAAGUCCGCGAAUCUUCAGACAAUGUUUAGGCUUAACGUUGGUGGUCAGGACAUUCCCGGAAGCCAAGACUCUGGCGGGUUAACAAGAACUUGGUACAACGAUGCGCCUUACAUAUUCAGCGCAGGUGUGUAUUUUUUUUUUGAAUACCAGGAGGUUCGAGGCCAAAGCCUGUAAUACUCUUAGGCAUAAAAUCACAACAUUUAAUAUUAGUUUCGUCCUAGUGCAGGUCUUGGUGUUACCCUUCGAGCAAGCAACAACUUUAGGAUUGAUUACCAGAAAAUGCCGGUCUCGACCGCACCACCUGAUGUCUACAAAACAGCUAGAUCACAAGGACCAAAUGGAGAUCUCAACGUUAAUUCUAAUCUCACAUGGAUGUUUCAAGUUGAUACUAACUUCACUUACAUCAUGAGACUCCACUUCUGUGAGUUCCAGCAAUCUAAAGUUAAUCAAAAAGCUUUCAACAUAUACAUAAUCUUUCUUGAACAUUUGUUUUGUUUACCUGUUGUAAUUACAGGAUGCUCUCUAACAGGGAAUCAGCUAGACGAUCCAGAAGAAGAAAGCAAGCACACCUUAGUGAGCUAGAGACACAAGUAUGUUUAAUCUCCCCCCACAUUUGUUUUCUUUCUCAGCUCACUUAUUAUUAACAAUCUCCAUCUCUCUGGUAGGUUUCACAGCUGCGUGUAGAGAACUCAAACCUCAUGAAAGGUCUCACUGACGUAACUCAGACUUUCAACGAGGCAUCUGUAGAAAACAGAGUUCUUAAAGCCAAUCUAGAGACGCUACGAGCUAAAGUAAGUAAAAAAAAUCCAUUUCCAUCUCCUCUCAGAUUAAAAAGUUAACAAAACUCAUUUAACAAGACUCUUCUGCUGAAACCUUUUUUCAGGUGAAAAUGGCUGAGGAGACAGUGAAGAGAAUCACAGGCUUCAACCCAAUGUUCCACACUAUGCCUCCGGUUUCAACCGUCUCUAAUCCUUCAGAGACAUCGAACUCUCUAGACACAAGCUCCCAAGUGACUACACCGGAGAUCAGCUCAAGCAGCAACAAAAGCAAGGCCUUGAUCGGUUGCAAAAUGAACAGAACAGAGUCGAUGAGGAGAGUUGCGAGUUUGGAGCAUCUGCAGAAACGUAUUCGCAGCGUUGGGGAUAAGUAGCUUUGUGAAGAAGAAGAAGAAGAAGAAGAAGAAAGUUGAUUUGUAUAACAUUAUCAAGAAUAGAGAGAGGCAUUGAGACAAAAGUGUUAUAUGUGUUGUGUAAAGAAUUGUCUGACCUAGUUUAUCUCUGAUUAGGUCCCUCUUAAAUGUGUUUUCAAUCUCUUUUUCAACAUCUACAGUUUGUAUCUUGUAAACUACUACAAAGUUAUCAAACUCAAAGCUUCAUUGGUACUGUAAAGACAAUUAGAAAAGACCAUUUCUUGGUAGUGAACUAGUAGAAUUAAUAAUGUUUUUAUCUGCAAUUAGAUAAAUUUUGUAAAUUUUUAAAACAUUUUCAUUAAUUAAUAUAAUAAGUUAUAUACUGUUAUGAUACAUUAACCGAAAAUAUCUGACCGAUUAAAUAUUAUUGGUUGAUAGUUAUUGAAAUAUGUAUAUAUUAAAAUAAAUAAUAAAUUUGAUUAUAAAUAUUUAUUAUAUUUUACAUGCAUAAAAAUUUUGAAAAUAUUUUUCAAGAACUGAUAAAAUAUUAUCUUUUCAUUAUUCACUACUUAUAAGAAAAUAUUAGCUAAUAAUUUGUUGACAAACAAAAAAGCUAAUAAUUUUAUUAUUUUAACUGAAUAAAAGAAUAACUUUUCCAUGUCAAAAAAAAAAAAUAGCUAACAAUUUUAUUAUAUUUUUAUUGGAUAAAAGAAUAAAAAAAAACAGAGAUAACGUUGGGACCAGAAGAAGAAGAAAAGAUUAGAAGAGAGCAGUAAGUAAUGGCGACAUCGGUUGCGACUCUAUCUUCUCCGCCACCAGUUACUCUGCAUCUCUCUUCAUCUCGCUCUUCCUUAUUCUCCAACUGUUUCAUAGCGACCACCCGAAGACCAAAGACCCGUUCUUUGGUGGCGAUUCGACCGGAGCAGAGGAGAAAGUCGCUCACUUGUAAUGCCCUGUUUGGUCUCGGUGUCCCUGAGCUUGCUGUGAUUGCUGGCGUCGCCGCGUUGCUUUUCGGACCUAAGAAGCUUCCUGAGAUUGGCAAGAGUAUUGGCAAGACCGUCAAGAGCUUUCAACAGGUUUGCUGUCCGAUUAUUAGAAAAAAACUUAUAUCAUUCGGAAUCUUUCAACUAUAGUUUUGGUCUGUGUCUUCACAUGAUGUGUAAAGCUUGUUGAUUGUAGUUGGAAUUGAUGUUAAAAGGUCUCAAGGAGAAGUGUGUUUUUUUGGGGAAUUUUAUGUUUCAAGUGCUUAGUAGUAUGAUUCAUGUCUGAAUUUGUUAUAAUUGAUAAGAACACUCAGAAGAUUUGAAAUUGAAUGUGUGUAAAACAGUUCACUAUUAUACAAUAAGCUCAUUGAUAACUUUGAUGUAUAAAUCAUUUUGUUAUGUAGGUUAAUAAUCUCUUUCCAACAAGCUGCUGGUAAAUUCGUUAAUUGGAGUGAUAUUAGAUUUAUAUUUUCUAUAGAAGUUACUUGAUAAUUCUCAGAUAUAUAGCUUCUACUUGUAUGUUUUGUGUUCCUUUCAGCUCUUCUCGUCUUUAAUAUUUGCAUUGAUGAUGGGCUUGUGGGGGGGUUUUGUAAUGAUGCAGGCUGCAAAAGAGUUUGAGUCUGAGCUUAAGACAGAACCAGAACCAGAAGAUUCUGUUGCUGGCUCGUCGUCUCCAGUAGCAAUGAGUAACAAGGAAGAGGAAAAAACUGAGGUUUCGUCAAGCUCAAAGGACAAUAAUGUAUGAAAGAAUGAUGAGACUUUUUUUUUUUUUUUUUGCUUUGUCUGUAGUUAAAUGAGUUUAGAUCAAAUACUCUUUGUUGAAGGAAGCAGGCUUGUCUUCCUAUGAAAUAUGGUUCCAUGGUGUUUGAAUCUAUAUUAGCUAUAUCUUCUUAAGAAUAUAGCAAACCUUGCAAAUCAUUCAAUUUUUAACAUCAGAUGAACCUAAAGACAGAGGCUGCAUAAACAGAUUCAAGAUGUUACUCAAAUGAGUGGAUCUGAGAGACGAAAACAAAAAAUACAAAAUUUCUCAUGACACAGAGAGUAAUUUGUCUACAUGAUUUUUAAUUACUGAGCUAGUUUCUGUCUCUUUAUCCUCUCUAACGCACCCAGAGUCUUCUCACCUCCUUCCUCAGCUUCUUCCUCCUCUCUCUUUCUUGCAAGUCCUCCAAACACAGCAGCAGGGACUUCCUUCUGAGCAAUCUCUACUCUUUCUUCCCCAUCAGACGCAUCCUCAUCAUCAUCGUCACUCUCUUCCGGAAGCUCAAUAUCUUCAGCCACUGGCCUCAUUCUCACCAGACUGUGAGAUGACCCCCGCGCUCACAAACCCAACUCUUCUCCCACCAACCGUGGUAGACACUGGAGCCGCCAUGAGCUGCCUCUCCAGCGCCGCCAUCUCGUCAUCCGGCAAACCCGCCUUCUUCAGCUCAUCUUUCGCCUCCUCCACGUCCACCAUCUUGUCCCUCUGCAUCAUGUUCUCCGGCAGAAUGAAAUGAGUCUGGCUGUAACUAGCGGAAACGCUUCGUUUGAUCCGUAGCAUCUCUCUGUACGUGUCCUCGUUCCCGUGCUGCACCUCGAACUCGUGCCACCUGCUCCAAAACUCCGGGUCUGAUCUUGGAUCAGCGUACUGAGAGGCGUACUUGUAGACUGCACGAGCACGGUCGAUCUCUCUCUCCCAAGCUUCUCUCCAGCUCUGCGAACUGUAUGCACAUGAUCUUCACGUCAUUGUGUGGGAGACCAGAAGACUCUAUCGCUUGCUCGUAUAUCUCCCUUGUUCUCGCGACGCCGAAUAUCUCAGCUGCACGAGAAAUGUAUAUCUCAUACAUCUCCAGCCUCUGGAGCUCUGGAACCUUCUUGGUUGCUUCCUCGUAAACCUUCAUGGCUCGCUUGGCCAGACCGUAGUCCUCUUCUAGCUUAGCGUAGUGUAGAUAUAACGUCCUCACAGCAUCAGAUGGAGCCUGAAACAAAUAUAAAGACAAGUUAGAUCAAGAAACAGCCUUUGAACCAAAAAGAAUGUGUUAAGCUUACCAUUGAGAUAGCAUGUUCAAACAACUCUCUAGCCCGCUCCAGCUUUGUGUUACCAUACCUUUUGACGAACUUUGUAAGAUAAGUUACCCAAAUGUCUUUGACGUGAGGAUACAUGAACAUCUUGACGCGUCUCUCAUAAACCUUGAACGCAUCUUCAAAAUACUUAUUCUCCUCGAGGAUGAAAGCGUAGUUGAGUAUCUUCCGGAUUAGAGAUUACGUACUGAUUUCUAGUGACCGAUUGGUUAGUUUUACGAAACCAAUCACUUGCACAGUUGCACAUCACUAGCUAGGUAGCCGAACGUUGAGAAGGCCCAUUUCAUUUCUUCAUGUUCCUGGCCUGACGAAAGGUGAGAGAAAUGAUGUAAGCUCGUGUGAUUGGUGACUUUGGUGUGUCUGUAAUACUGGAGCUUUUGUGUUGAUGCUGAAAUGGAUUUUUGGGUUGAUUGGUAGUUUGAAUCUUAAGUGCACAAUAUGAAAUUUAUUGUUACUUAUUUCUCUCCAUUAUUACGUAGAUCAAGUAAAUGAUUAAUACACAAGUAAAAUACGGUCAAAAAAUUCUUCUGAAACCACUCAUAUAAUAGAUCCGUGCAUUUGCAUAAUACAAGGCUCUUAUGAAAAACAUACUUCAAAAUAUUUUUCAUCGUAACCAUCAUCAAGUCCACGACCAUACAUUAAAAGUCUAUAUGCAUACAGUACACGAAUAAGAAAGGCCGUCCUCUCUUCAUCUUGUUACUUUUGCAAAACUAUGUAGAGAGAGAGAGAGAGCCAUGAUGAUCUCUUUCUCUAUCUUUUUUUUUUUUUUCUCCCAAAACUUUCCUUUUUUUUUGUUAUUCCCUCCUUCAGAGAGAUCCUACUUGGUAGGAUUCUUUCUCUGUCCUAUCUCACCAGCAAUAGUAAAAAAAAAACAAGUGUUUCAAGUUGAAACUUAAGAGUCACAACGUAUACACUCAUUAGUGAGACUGCAUCACAGAACAUGCAACAGCUUGUGCCCAAUGCCUUAAUCUUUGUUUCACUUGUUGUGGACUGUCCCCUGCACAACUCAAUUCACAAUGAUUAGUGUGAGAAUAUAAGCUCCAAGAGUUUCGAUGGGACAUGAUUAAUAUACAAAACCUUAGCUCAAUUCACUUAUCCUCAAUUGGUUUUAAAUUAGAAGUCUAGGAAACUUAACGAUUAGUCUAUGCAUGUAAAUACUGACCAUAGAAAAUCAGCAUUUAUAAGAAGAUGAAAUGAAGUUUUUGUUUUUACCUGGACAUAAGAUCUUUAAUGAAUCCGAGUCGGUUCUUGGGCUACAAGGAAUGCUGCUUGAGGAAGCAGAUGUAGAAGGUAAAGAGCCAUCUCCUCCGUUGCUGCUACGGCUGCUACUAGGUGAAGGGAGAGGCGAAAGCUGCCUAUUCACAGCAAAGUAAAGAUCUAAUGCUGGUAAUGUGUUGCACAACUUCAGUCCUGCUUCUUCCUUGAAUCCAAACCCUAACUCGAUGGACCCUUUGAGCUCCCUUAAGUCUUCAUCGGUU
Molecule: long non-coding RNA, 7687 nt
Filed under: Brassica napus (rape)
Lineage: Eukaryota; Viridiplantae; Streptophyta; Magnoliopsida; Brassicales; Brassicaceae
Description: long non-coding RNA (BNAP_LNC020577)
Source: RNAcentral